Molecule: ribosomal RNA, 1539 nt
Filed under: Klebsiella pneumoniae
Lineage: Bacteria; Pseudomonadati; Pseudomonadota; Gammaproteobacteria; Enterobacterales; Enterobacteriaceae
Description: bacterial SSU rRNA
Rfam family: Bacterial small subunit ribosomal RNA
Source: RNAcentral
AAAUUGAAGAGUUUGAUCAUGGCUCAGAUUGAACGCUGGCGGCAGGCCUAACACAUGCAAGUCGAGCGGUAGCACAGAGAGCUUGCUCUCGGGUGACGAGCGGCGGACGGGUGAGUAAUGUCUGGGAAACUGCCUGAUGGAGGGGGAUAACUACUGGAAACGGUAGCUAAUACCGCAUAAUGUCGCAAGACCAAAGUGGGGGACCUUCGGGCCUCAUGCCAUCAGAUGUGCCCAGAUGGGAUUAGCUAGUAGGUGGGGUAACGGCUCACCUAGGCGACGAUCCCUAGCUGGUCUGAGAGGAUGACCAGCCACACUGGAACUGAGACACGGUCCAGACUCCUACGGGAGGCAGCAGUGGGGAAUAUUGCACAAUGGGCGCAAGCCUGAUGCAGCCAUGCCGCGUGUGUGAAGAAGGCCUUCGGGUUGUAAAGCACUUUCAGCGGGGAGGAAGGCGAUAAGGUUAAUAACCUUGCGAUUGACGUUACCCGCAGAAGAAGCACCGGCUAACUCCGUGCCAGCAGCCGCGGUAAUACGGAGGGUGCAAGCGUUAAUCGGAAUUACUGGGCGUAAAGCGCACGCAGGCGGUCUGUCAAGUCGGAUGUGAAAUCCCCGGGCUCAACCUGGGAACUGCAUUCGAAACUGGCAGGCUAGAGUCUUGUAGAGGGGGGUAGAAUUCCAGGUGUAGCGGUGAAAUGCGUAGAGAUCUGGAGGAAUACCGGUGGCGAAGGCGGCCCCCUGGACAAAGACUGACGCUCAGGUGCGAAAGCGUGGGGAGCAAACAGGAUUAGAUACCCUGGUAGUCCACGCCGUAAACGAUGUCGAUUUGGAGGUUGUGCCCUUGAGGCGUGGCUUCCGGAGCUAACGCGUUAAAUCGACCGCCUGGGGAGUACGGCCGCAAGGUUAAAACUCAAAUGAAUUGACGGGGGCCCGCACAAGCGGUGGAGCAUGUGGUUUAAUUCGAUGCAACGCGAAGAACCUUACCUGGUCUUGACAUCCACAGAACUUUCCAGAGAUGGAUUGGUGCCUUCGGGAACUGUGAGACAGGUGCUGCAUGGCUGUCGUCAGCUCGUGUUGUGAAAUGUUGGGUUAAGUCCCGCAACGAGCGCAACCCUUAUCCUUUGUUGCCAGCGGUCCGGCCGGGAACUCAAAGGAGACUGCCAGUGAUAAACUGGAGGAAGGUGGGGAUGACGUCAAGUCAUCAUGGCCCUUACGACCAGGGCUACACACGUGCUACAAUGGCAUAUACAAAGAGAAGCGACCUCGCGAGAGCAAGCGGACCUCAUAAAGUAUGUCGUAGUCCGGAUUGGAGUCUGCAACUCGACUCCAUGAAGUCGGAAUCGCUAGUAAUCGUAGAUCAGAAUGCUACGGUGAAUACGUUCCCGGGCCUUGUACACACCGCCCGUCACACCAUGGGAGUGGGUUGCAAAAGAAGUAGGUAGCUUAACCUUCGGGAGGGCGCUUACCACUUUGUGAUUCAUGACUGGGGUGAAGUCGUAACAAGGUAACCGUAGGGGAACCUGCGGUUGGAUCACCUCCUUA